ACAUACAUGGCGGCUCCUGGGGAGAUACACAGUUAGCCUAAUGGUAAACGUUAACUUUUAAACAAAUAAAAGCAGAAAGUAGUCGAGAUUCAUACAUUACAGAUAAUUUCUAGUAUUGCUCUUCUGUUUCUGUAUACGUCAUCUACCGAGGCUCGAGCAACAUAACCCUUUGUCGCAAUCAGGACAUAUAAAGCAGGAACAUCAGACAAUGGAAAUCAGCUUUACAAGACAAUCUAACAACGCGGUACCUAUAUUUACUGUAUAGUAGAUGUGUGCGAGUGUCAGAUCUAUAAAUGCCGAUUAUAUUCUCAUCCUCGUAAACGCUCCAUCCGUCAGAAACCUCACAGAAGAGGAAGAGGAAAAAUCCUCCUAAACGUGACGAAGACGCGCUUCCAAACAAGCAGGAAUAACUCCAUGUGUAGCAGAUGAAAUCCGUGUUACGCAGUAUUGACAAGAUGUUUAUUAAAGGGUUCAUUCAAGUUUAUAAAGAUUUUAUUAAAUGGGAAAGUAAAGACAUGGGUUGUGCAAAAGCACGCAGCAAUAAAAUUGAAGAUACAGCAGAACAAGGAGUGAGCACGGGGAGAGCGGCAUAAAAGAGCCACACCGCCAGCAGACAGGAGAGAGAGACUGGCACAAGGAAGGCCACGGUGCUACAAGCUAUUGUGAUGAUUAUGUAAUGAAGUUAAAGUGUUUAAGUAAAUAUUUGCCUGUGAAGCUAUUGAGUUUGUGAAACUGUAAGCAUCAGGGUGGAUAAAUUAAACACCUACCUGAACCGGGAAACCUCGCUUCUCGCCUCCUCCUUUCCACUGAAAAGUGUUACACUGUCCUACUGUGUUUGUUUUGCCGCUAUAUCCAAAAGAAAGAAGCGAUUGUACUAUUUACCGCAGGAAUUAUGAAAUAACUGCUAUUUUAAAAUGUACAAUUAUGUCUAAUAUAUAGUCGCCAAAAGGCUUUAUCCACGUUUUGAUUAUGAAUUACAGUGACGUUCUGACCUAUAAAUUUCUUCUCCGCAGAUCCAUGAAGUAUUCUCAUGGUUUUUAUAGGGAUAUUAUUUGGUUCGUUGGUCCAUUGGGUCGGUUUGCAUUCUCAUCACAAGCGAACUGCUCCAGAGUUAGUUUGCAAUCGGUCUGAGACAACCUCGUUCAGGAGGUCUCGGACAGAUUGUUUUGGUGUGGAUCUGAGUGCUAAUGCCGUGUUCAUAUAUGCCUAAAUGAACCGAGGUAGAAAACGCGCCGGGGCCGGAUUCAUGAAACGUUCUUAAGAAGAAAUUUCUUAAUUACUAUUUUCUUCUUAAUUUGUAACUUAAGAAAAAAGUUAAGAAUAUUUUGUAUUCCUGAAUAAACUUCUUAAGAAAGUUCUUAUCUUUGUACUUAAGAUUGUUCUUAAGAAAAAACUUAAGAGGUCACGUGACGCCAUGCGAGGUUCGGACGUGUGAACGGCGAGCUCUGCGCACUUUGCUAGUUUUAAUACUUUUCAUGUCAUAAACCGGUGAGAUUUGAUACAUCCUGAUCCUUAACUGUUCUAUGAAGACAAUAUGUCAAAGAAUUCAAAAUCCUCAGGCUCUGGAGACAUUAAAAGACACUUACGUGCUCAAGCUGAAGCCCCUGAGCGGCAAGCCGUAAGCCCGGGACUCAAUUUGGCCAGUGAGGUGAAAGAGAUUUAGCGUCAACUGUUGAACAUGUCGGUGAUGCUGAUGAAGGUCAUUGCUGACUUGGAGGAUCUUGCUGUAAUACGUUGAUCGAUCACUGCAAUGGAGACGAAAUUCACUGAUAUGGUUACAUUUCUGGAUGGGUUCUUUCUGAGUCUGCUCCACAUAACAGGCCAUAAGCUGGAAAUCGAGCAAGCUCAAAGGGUCCCGGCUUGGUGAGCCGCUGAGGAAGACAGGCCCUGAUCAAUUCUGGCCAAAUUUCUGAGAUCAUCCGAUAAAGAUCUCGUGGUAGGCGAGGAGUUAAGUGAUGCUUUCUUGGAAGAACCACAGCAUUUUCUUGUUCCCAGAUGUUGCGAAUUCGACAAGAGGUAAAUGUGAUUGAUUCAAGGAAUGCAAGAAACUCUUACAUCAACGGAAGGUUGCUUUUGCUCUGAUGUUCCUGGCCAAAUUGAGAAUAGAUACUAAGGAUGGCCACAAAAUGUUUACAUGCCCACAGCAAGCAAUGUACUUCAUAAAGUCAAUGACUAAGUUAUUUGUGGUUCUCAUGUUGCAGCCGAGUGGGCCUGACUCACUGAACAUUCACUUGACUGUUCGAGGAACUGGGCGCCUUUUUUGUUUCUUUUUGUGCUGGUUCCGUCUAGUGACUGGAGUUUGUUUGGUGGAAUAACAAUUUGUGGAUGAAUCUGCACAUUUUUUGUGCUUAUGCAUCCUACUGGCUGGAGUUAGUUUUGUGGAAUAUUCCUUGCACGACAUUGGAGUGAUUAGGUCAGUUGUUGCACUCAUGUAACAGCCGAGUGGGCGUGACUCAUUAAACAUUCACUUGACUAUCCGAGGAAGCUGAGCACCUUUUUUUUGUUUCUUUUUGUGCUGGUUCCACCUAGUGGCUGGAGUUUGUUUCAUGGAAUAACACAUCUUCGGGACAGUGUUAUUCCAGGUUAUUCCGUGGGCCAGACGGCUUUGCUGCUGAAUUUUUUAGAUUUAUGCUACAGAACUGGCUCCACUUUUGUUAGAAGUUCAUACAGAAUCAUUAAAGAAUGGAAAGCUUUCGCCAACCAUGACACAAACCCAGAUCAGUCUGAUUCUUAAAAAGGACAAAGAUCCAAGUGAGUGUAAGAGUUAUUCUCCAAUUUCCCUGAUCCAGCUAGGCGUUAAAAUAUUGUCAAAAAUUUUGGCUAACCGAUUAAGUUAUGACAUCUCUUAUACAUAUAGAUCAGGUGGGGUUUAUUCGGGGCCGUAACUCUUCUGAUAACAAUAGGCGUUUCAUCAAUAUCAUGUGAUCAGUGGCGAAUGAUCAGACUCCGGUCGUUGCCAUCUCACUUGACGCCGAAAGAGCAUUUGAUAUGGUAGAAUGGGAUUAUCUUUUUAAGAUUUUGGAAAUGUACGGGUUGGAUUGAGUUACUUUAUAGACACACAGUGGAGGCGGUACAAACUAAUGGAUUAAUAUCAGAUUAUUUUACUUUGGAUAGGGGCACCCGGCAGGGUUGCCCUCUUUCCCCAUUAUUGUUCUGUCUUGCCCUGGAACCAUUAGCAGCCACGAUAAGCAAGGAAGAUGAUUUUCCAGGGGUGAUGGCGGGAGGAAUGGCGCAAAAGCUUUGCUCUAUGCAGAUGAUAUUUUAUUAUUCGUCUCCGACCCCAUUAGAUCUAUGCCUUGCCUCCACAGAAUUAUUAAUUCCUUUUCUAAGUUCUCAGGAUAAAGGGUUAAUUGGUCUAAAUCCGAAGCUUUGGCUAACAGCGUACAGCCCUGUAACGGCUUUUUAACCAGGCGCCUUCAGUGGCCCAAACAAGUAUUUGGGCAUUUUAUUUCCAGCAAAUUGAUUUAGUUAAGAGUUAAUUUUGACCCUUUAAUACAAAGGUUUGAGUGAUGUGGACAGGUGGGCUUCACAACAUUAAUCUAUGACUGGGAAGGUUCAUGUUAUAAAAAUGAAUUAUAUUCCAAAAUUCAACUACCUACGGUUCUCUCCCUGUUGAAGUUCCCCUCUUUUAUUUUAAACAAUUUGAUGGUAUAGCUUAGUCUUUAUUUGGAAUGGUAAACACCCUUGGUUGCAUUCCAGUAAGUUACAUAGGCCAAUUGUCAAAGUGGGUUAGGUCUCCCCAAGAUUUUGUUUUACUAUUAUGCUUUUGUCUCAGACAUUUGGCACAUUGGUCGCUUCCACCUGAGAGUGCCCUUGUUAACCUCCCUGGCUCUUUAUUUAUUGAACAGGAGGUAUUUGCCCCUAUCUUGCCAUUGCAAAGUCUUUCUACCAAGCUGCCCAGAGAAGUAAAGACACAUCCCGUUAUCGUGCAUUUAGUGUGGACAAAAGUACAUAAGUUGAUUCCGUGUAUUCUUGUGCUGUUUGUUUAAAUAUGUGUAUGGAAUCAAGAAAAAAUUGUUAAUAAAAAACAUUAAAAAAAUAAAUAAAAAAAAGCGUAAGCAUUCAAAUUCUGAAUUUUUUUUUUUUCUUAAAUAUCAUCGUAAAUAACAUCUUAAAAGUUAGGAUAACCUCACAGUUGUCUUAAAUUCUAAAAGGUAAGAUGUUUAAUGAAUUUACUGGGUUUUUCAUAUUGAGUCUGAAGUUGCAGUGGGCUGUUUACGUAGAAAGGUUAUUUUAGACCAAAAAAAGUUUUUGACUGUUUUGUUUAAUUAUAUUUUUAUUUUCAGCUUGUAAACCAUGUUAAUGUUAUCACCAAAUUCAAACAAUAAAUGUUGUUUUGAAGCUUAAUGUGGUGACCAAUCAUGCUAAUUGAAACGGAUGCACUACAUAUAGCGCGCUCUCUCCACGAUCUUUAGAGUUCAUAGAAACAUAAUAAUUAUAACAUUAGAAACCUGAGACUUUCUUUUUCACCCCCCAUCCACAUCCCUAUCGGAGUUGGGCACAGCGGAGACAGCCUCCACCACCUUUUCCCAUUUACCUGUCUCGUACUUUCCAACGUGAUAUUAUUAUCAAGCUUCCCAAGGAGAAAAUUUUCCUUGCAGUAAUUUCCUCAACAAGAACAUCCAGCUCUUGUCUACUGAAGUUUUUGUGUCUUUUCCUCCAUGUCAAAUUAUCAAAUGGUUAGCAGCAAGUAAAUUCUCAUUUGACGGUUAAUGUUGUUAAACUAACAUAUCUCACACACUUUACAUUCAAAAAAAUUAUUGCGAGGUGCUUGCUACUUAAAAAAAAAAAAAAAAAGGUUAAUUGAUAAAUAAAUUGAAGUAUAUUUGUUGUAGGCUAUUAGACAAGGCAACUCCAUUAGCAGGCUGAUCAGACAACAUCAAAGCCUGUCUUUUUAUUCUUAAGAAAAAAAUUCAGAUGCUCUUCAGAAAAUAUUUGAGAACUUAAGAAUUUUUCUAGAAUUGCACUUAGGAACAUUCUUACGAACUUCUUAUAAUUUAUCCUAAGAACUUUCGUAAUUUUUAUCUUAAGAACAUUUUUGUGAAUCCGGCCCCAGGUUCCGAAACAAAUGCUCCAAACGAGCCAGGUGUGAAAAUGCCUCACAUGUACGUGUGUUCCGAGAAUGCUCACACCUAAACGGUUAAAUACAUUUAAAAAAUCUGCCAAAAUGCCUGUGUUUAAAAAUAAAAACUGCAUGCGUCUUAACGGAAGAACAGUGGUUUGAUGAUGUAAGUUGUGCUUCGGCUCUGCUCCUCUAUGCGUAUGAAUGUGGUUCAAGGCACCAGUGUACACUGGAUACAGGACAUCUUAUCAGAGCGAAUGGACAAAUAAAUAACAAAAGAAAGGAAAAGACAGUUAUCUGAAAACAUGCAAUAUCUUAUGCUGUUGUUUUGACUUACUGGAAACAUUGAUGUUUUGAAAUAAGUGAUGUUACAGAAGUUAGGAAACGUUUGUUAACAUUAGACUUAAUAAGUUUGAUAAGGUCAAACGUUGUAAAGUUUUUAUAACUGCAGGAUAUUCUGGCCAAAUAGACCACGAUAGUAACUAAUUUAUUGAUUGUCAUUGUUACCAACCAGUGGUCAACAUCAGUUUAAGACUCACAUGUCCUUGGCAAGCCUUGGACAAUUAUUUAUAUCAAUUGUUGCUGUUAUAAAGAAAAAUACACACGUGUGCUAGCAAGUGAAAAGUUCUGCACUGAUUACAGUAUAAUUAUUGUAUUUCACAACACAAACACAGACAUGUGUGUGUGAUUACACAUCUAUACAUAAACCAUAUCAAUAAAAUAUCUUACCUGUUGAGUAAGAAAAAAAGACAUCUCUGGGUCACUUUUACCUCCUUUCAGAUCUCAAGAGUUGUCGCCACCUCUGAAAAGCCAAGUUGAUUCGGGUUUUAUUAUGGACUCUGUCACUUUCCCUUUUCACUUGUACACUCUGCUUUGUUUGGGGUUUCUUGGUUUUAAAACCGGUGAUUCCCCGGUGGUUUGUCAUUUUGAAUGAUCCAUGGUAAAUGUUUAUCGUUAGUUGUGACAACAAACUUUCAGAUUCACGCUACUGCCACACACGCAUUACAGUAGCUGGAGCUUAUUUUCUCUGUAUACGGAUAUGACGUCAACACGCACGGGCAAAUUACCUAUGUAUGCAAUUUCCCGUAAAAUCUGUCCCGACAGCUCUAAAAUAUAAAUAACUAUUAUAGGUUUAUCAAAGAGUAUUUGGGUAAAAACAUGGUUUGGAAGAUGGAUUUUUGUUGCACACUCUAAUUAAUAACAUUUUGUUAUUUUUUAACAAAAAAGUUACAUAGUGUAGCUUUAAUAUUAAUCAAACAACAAUAACAAGAAAACAACAAAACCACUCACUGCUCUUGUCUGGAUAACUUGACUAGUAUAACUAUAGUAUAAAAGUAUUAAAGUAUUAUUCAUACAGGGAAGAUCAUUAGUGAUUUUAUGUCAAGAUCAUUCUGAAUGUUUAAUUUAAAACUUGAUACUGUUAAUGUUUUCUUAAUUUGUAUUUUUGUUUGGUUUAUAGUGGGGUUUUUUUUUUUAUUCAUUGUUUUUGUUUUAUUUUAUUACUGACUGUUUACUAUUAAAUAAUAACUUGAGAACUUAAUUAUUUUAUAACUAAGUUAAUUAUUGUUAGGCAAUUGUUUGUUGUGGUAUUGAAGCUGAUAUAGAAUAUCAUCACAUUUCAAUAAAGACUACUAAAAUUUUGGUAUUUUGAUAAAUAUAUAUAUUCUGUAUGGUAUCUUGCUGCAGUAACAUGAUGGAAAAGUAGAUCUCAUUCCUUAGAAGUGUGAGCACCCCUGCUGUAAAUGAUGGUGAUGGAGACUUUCCUUUAUUUGACUACUGUGCGUACAUGUAACAUAAAAUAACCUCUACCCAGAGCAGUUUACAUUUCUGUCCCAGAUAAUCUAGUUGAUCGUAAUUUUAGAAAACAUGCAACAGAAACUCUGACAUGUUACUUGAGCAUGAAACCAAUACAUGUACUUUUUUUUUUUCUCUCUGGACAAGUAACUUUUUACUCGGACAAGUGAAAGACCAAUAUACUUGUCCGAAGGACAAGCACAUCACAAUGCUUAAUGUCGAGCCCUGCAUAUCAUCUGUAGGGAAUGCCAUAAACCGGUUGCAUCCAAAAAUGGAAGCACUUCAGAUCUCUUCCACCAUUUACAAAAGCGCCAUAAACUGCAGUACGAAGAGUGUGUUAAACUUUGUGCUGCUGCAACCCGAAAAGUCACAACUGAAACAUUUAGCUCACUUUGUAGAAAAUACCGAGAUAUAUAUCAUGCAUCGCCAUUCAGCCUAAAAAUACAGAGAUAUGAAUUUUGGUCCAUAUCGCCCAGCCCUUUUACAGUGUAAGUGCUGUUAGCAGUUGGAACCAGUAACCAUUUUCAACAAAAAUACUAUAUUUUUUCUGCCAUAAAUUAUACAAGAUAAUUCCUCUGGAUCGCUCAAAAGAAACUGAGAAAGGCCAGCCCAUGUAACUAUGGAAACCUCACACUGUUGCCUACAUGACCUGCCAGUCAAACCACUACUAGAGAUUUAUUGGCUGGAUUGAUCUAGGUAAAAAGCCAAUGUGCAUUUGGUAAUGCCACAGUGUGUCUGAUCUGUGUUGAAUGAGAGCUCUGGCUGUGAAUCACAGAUCAAGGUGUGGGUGAGCUCAAAAUACUCGGAAGAGUCCACAGAAUAGGGGAGAUGCCUAUUUUGAUAGCAAAAAAAUUAAUUAGUAUCAAUAUUUUAUUGAAAUUAGACAUUUUUGAAUACAUGAUAACAUAAAAAUAGAGGAUCAGUUGUGUUUUCCCCAGUUACCCCAUAUUUUCGAUGUUUUAGAGUCCAUUUUCAUCAGUGGACACUCGCGUUAGGCUCGUUUGAGAUGUCAAAUGCCUCGCCUCGAAAGUAGAUGAGAGCAGGUUGGUGCAGGAGAUCACUGGGAUUGAGAUUACUUUGGAAGUUAAGAAUGUUUUAUGAUAAACCUUUGGAAAAGAGAAUCUUAUGUCCUUGACCUAUUUAUUGUGUUAAGGAAAUACUAUAUCCAUAAAUGUAAAUGGUAAAAGAAGAUACCACAUUUUGGAAAUUUUACUUUGAGCUCUAUCAGUAACUUUAUACGUUGGGGGGUAUAAGGAAUGCAAAAGCAACAAAGACUGGACUGCUGUAGAGCUUUGAACUUUUACCCAUCUUAGACACCCCUUGCAUCUACGGCUCUUGAAUAUUCUAAUAUCCCUUUGUUCUUAGUUAUUUAUAUGUUCUUUUUUUCCCCUUCUGUCAUGUGAAAUGUUAUAAUAAAGCAUUAAAAAAAAGGGAGAGCAGGCUGGUGCAGUCAGGGGAGGAGUGAAAUAAGAGCUGUCAAGUCAGACAGUUCUUACUUCUCAUAGUGGAUUAGCCGCUAUGAGAUCAAAGGCAGAUAUUGCAUGAUUAACAAGUGCUUUGUUGUUAAUAAAGUGGAUGCAAUUUAAAUUGUUACUUUUAAAUGAAAAUAAAUAUGAUGAACAAAACACUCAAUGUACCUGUUAUUUAA
Molecule: RNA transcript, 8504 nt
Organism: Myxocyprinus asiaticus (Chinese sucker)
Lineage: Eukaryota; Metazoa; Chordata; Actinopteri; Cypriniformes; Catostomidae
Gene name: gastrula zinc finger protein XlCGF52.1-like
Exons: 2
Source: RefSeq, a predicted model, not a curated record